Molecule: ribosomal RNA, 315 nt
Filed under: uncultured bacterium
Lineage: Bacteria
Description: bacterial SSU rRNA
Rfam family: Bacterial small subunit ribosomal RNA
Source: RNAcentral
GAUGAACGCUGGCGGCGUGCUUAACACAUGCAAGUCGAACGAAGUUAUAGGAGAGCUUGCUCUAAUAUAACUUAGUGGCGGACGGGUGAGUAACGUGUGGGCAACCUACCUUUUACAGGGGAAUAAUCACUGGAAACGGUGACUAAUACCGCAUAAUAGUAUUACAAGGCAUCUUGUGAUAGGGAAAGGAGUAAUCCGGUAAAAGAUGGGCCCGCAUCUGAUUAGAUAGUUGGUGAGAUAACAGCCCACCAAGUCAACGAUCAGUAGCCGACCUGAGAGGGUGACCGGCCACAUUGGGACUGAGACACGGCCCAA